AACGGCCAUACCAUGCUGAAUAUACCGGUUCUCUGUUAGAUCACCGAAGUCAAGCAUCAUUGGGCGCGGUCAGUACUUGGUUGGGUGACCACCUGGGAACACCGCGUGCCGUU
Molecule: ribosomal RNA, 113 nt
Filed under: Caerostris darwini
Lineage: Eukaryota; Metazoa; Arthropoda; Arachnida; Araneae; Araneidae
Source: RNAcentral